UGGAUGCACCCGAUUUUACCUGCCCUCUUCUAUGCCUGUGAAAGAGUCAUCAGGUAAUUUCAUGAGAACAACUACCAUUCAGGUAUUGUGAGGUAAGCUAUUGAACUAUAUUGAUUUGGCUCAUUCAGAGUUUCAGAUUGUCAGUUAUUAAUCAAAUACUAUUAUGUACAUGCAAGCAGCAAUUUAUCUAGGAGAUGUGCUCUCUAUUCACAUGAAGAAGCCACAGGGUUUCAAGUACAAGAGUGUACCGCAUCUUUUUUUUGUAAAAUAGCAAGGAUUGCCGCUCCCACAAACAUCCACGUCAGCGAAAGUUUUUUUGGUCGUUCGAUCGUUGAUCAGUGGUUCCCAUUCUCUCCCGUGCAACCAUGUGUAGAUGAUUCCAAGUGCUUCUCUCCUCGCAUCGUCUCCGCGUCUCGAUCCUGCAUACCUCGCGCUCCAUCCUCCUCCCAAACCCCACCCGCCCCCGCUUGCCCACGGCCCCGGCGACAGUCGCUUUGGUCUCCAGUUCCCUCCACCGCCGCUCCAAAGGUCCAGGCAAGCACGCUCCCUCCCCCUCCACCCCCAUCCUCCCCCGUCCAUCCGUAGCUCCGGUGACAGCCGCCAUCGCUUCGGGCUCCAGAUCCCAGCGCCAGCGCCCCAAAGGUCCAAGUAAGCGGAGGCGGCUCUUCCCCUUCCCCCCCAUUCGUUUUCCUUGCUUGGGUUCGUCGUCCCCUCCUCAUUCCCCUUCCCGAUGAGCUCUCUCCCCAUUGCUAGGGUUCGUCGUGCUGGGGUUGGAGUAGACACGGCGGCGGCGAUGGCUCUUCCCCUUCCCCCCUCAUCCGUUUUUCCUUGCUGCCAUUUAGGGUUUAGGGUUGGUUCUUCUACAUUUCAACCUCGAGGUAUCAAUGAUUCUGAGGCAUACGACAUAUUUUUUGUAGUAUGGCAUGUAGCAACUACAAACCUGUUUGGGAUUGCUGUCUUUUGGGUCUGGCUUGCUAGCAAGUACGAGUAGCAUUUGUGUUAGAAAAAUACAAGAAAAAAAAAUCUCUUAAGUUCUCAACUUUUGCUUGAUCUUGUGUGUUAGACUGUUAGUGUUCAUAUGGCGCAUCCCAAAUAUUCCUGUCCUGUAAUUGAACACAGACCUCCCAAAUAUUCCUCCUGUAAUUGAACACAAGAAUAUCUUUAGUUGAUGGUCUGGUCAUGGAGCUCAAAUUUGGUCCAAAAUGAAUUAUGAUACUUACUGUGUACUCUAAAUAUUUAUGUUUAAUUUUUGGAAAAAACUGUUCGUUUCAGACAUGGAUGCACCCGAUUUUACCUGCCCUCUUCUAUGCCUGUGAAAGAGUCAUCAGGUAAUUUCAUGAGAACAACUACCAUUCAGGUAUUGUGAGGUAAGCUAUUGAACUAUAUUGAUUUGGCUCAUUCAGAGUUUUAGAUUGUCAGUUAUUAAUCAAAUACUAUUAUGUACAUGCAAGCAGCAAUUUAUCUAGGAGAUGUGCUCUCUAUUCACAUGAAGAAGCCACAGGGUUUCAAGUACAAGAGUGUACCACAUCUUUUUUUUGUAAAAUACCAAGUCUUGCCUUUCGACUGGUAUCAUUUCUAUUAAUUAUUGCACACAUAUCCAAGAAGUAAUUUAUCUGUGGUUCUUACAGUUUUCCGAUAUAUGCAGGCACCCCUUCUCUAUAACUCUAGCACCAGGAUAUAACGAACUACUUGACUAUGCAUAUCCGCACGCCGGGUGACCGGACAUCCAAACUUUCGAUUCUCUGAGAUUUUGAACUUUGAUGGCAGUGAAAGGGAUCAGGCUCCGAAAACAGGGAGCAAGAAUAUGUGUUGUCUUGCAAGUCCUCUUUCACGAACGAGUUGCUUCUUUUAUUUUUUAAAAACAUCUAAAUAUCCAUUCAAAAUCAUACACAUUACUUCACUUUGUUCUUCAUGUUAUACAGUUCACUAAGUCAAAGGGUCCUUGUGACUCCUGUGUUUCCAUGCUUUACUAUUGAACAAUGAACAUAACUGAUUUGCAAUGAUUUAGAGAAUGUUGUAGGAUUUUCCUCUUCUACCUAAACUAAAUUCACUCCAUCCUUCACAUGUUCAAUUACUCCAUAUGCACAUUUUUUAUAAUAGAUAUAUGAACAUUUUUAUAACAAAUAAAUUUGGCAACAUCAAGUGUAAAAACUUGCAAUGUCGUACUGUCUGCUAACAAAUUGUAAAACUUGCAGUGUCGUCUUAUUUUGUGUCCUCCUUUUCCUUUUUUGGUCCCCGGCACAUGCUUCACAUGAUCUGUUACAAAUUCGUGGUUGGUCAAUCCGUUGUUCCCCACAUAUUUUUUUUAAAACUUCUUUACCGUGAAGAGUCCUUUUCUGUCCUAUUUUAUUUGGUUUUACCCACACUGGUUUCGGUUCCCUGCUUUUCCUCGGUUCCUGUUUUCAAUCCCACUCGAUUAUGCCCAACUUAGUUUGAAUUCACAGUUGUUUUCAAUAUGGUAAGAAAAUGUUUGCUACUUAUUAGAUUGCAGCCACAUUUUCGUCCACAUGCUCUCGCUUCCAGAUUUUGACCCUUUUUCCACGGUUUUCAAUACAGUAAGGAAAUGUUUGCUACUUAUUCCCUGGUGUCCAUUAUCCAAAGUAUGGUUUCUAGGCCAAAUUUACAUAGGAAAGAAGCGAGUAAAAAAGAAGGAAACAAAUCCUUUCAGUUACUUGUUGUUUGAUUUACUACCAUGUCCUUCUAUUCCACAUGUAGGAUCUGUUGUUCUUUUUUUUUCCACAGCCCCCCGGCAUAUGUCUCACUGGAACUUUUACAAGUUUGGGUUUAGUGUUUAUGGUACAGAAAAGGUAUGUUUUUUACACCAUCAUGCUAUUGAUUCUUUGUCACUUUAAAUUGCUAUUGAUGUGUAAAAAAGAGUUGAUUAUAUGUUCUACAUAAAUUGCUAGAAUCCUUUGUGGCUACAAAAGAAUUGAAUCAAUUGAUUAUAUGUUCGUUGAGGAGGUAAACUAAAAUUAGUUUUAAACUGCUUCCAUUCGCACUGGUUGUCUGCUACAUGGUGAGUAGUGAUUUUACAGUUACCUUUCUCGAACUAAGUUUAAAUGUUCCGCGUCUUAUAGGUAUUGUUUGUUUCUACUCUUUUAUCGAAGCACGUGGAGUGAUACCUCUGCACCUCAGUGGCUUUAUCGGCGAGGCUUCGUUGCUGAGGUAAUUAGUAUUAGUUUCCUUCGUGCUGGUUAUUCACUAAUAAACUAAUGUUUGAUGUCGUGUUCGGCCCUAGGAUUCUUACCAGUGCGUCUAUGUGUUCCACCAACAAUCUAAUUAGCACAUACUUAAAUCUACCAUCUAUCCACGCAUUGGAUAUACUGCAUUAUGCACGCUUGCUAGUUUAAAGUGUGAUUUCGUGUACAGAAUACGAUACAGAGCUUCUUAUUUAAAAAUAUUUGUAACUUUAACAAAUUAACUCUUAGAUAUACAACCUAAUGAAAUAUAUUCAAUAGGCUCGAUGCGUUCUAGCACAUUCCGAUGUGCCACGCAGUGUCGAGGUAAAUUCAGUGUACUUACAUGCUUAACUUCUAUAUAUACUAAUGAAGAUAGAUAUCUGUAUACUGUUAAUACCUCUACAACAAAUGGUAAAAACAUGUUUUCCAUGUUAAACACCUACAAAUUCCUCGGUACAAAAGUGCUCUCCCCACUUUGGACUACCAUAGUAAGAUAGCAAUGUUUAUCUUAUCGUUCACAAGUCGUCCACAAAGACAUGGAUCAGCUGACCAAGCUCGAACUACCAUCGCCUCCAAAAAAGUAAGUGUUCAAGUCCUUUUCUGUCCUAUUUUAUUUGGUUUUACCCACACUGGUUUCGGUUCCCUGCUUUUCCUCGGUUCCUGUUUUCAAUCCCACUCGAUUAUGCCUAACUUAGUUUGAAUUCACAGUUGUUUUCAAUAUGGUAAGGAAAUGUUUGCUACUUAUUAGAUUGCAGCCACAUUUUCGUCCACAUGCUCUCGCUUCCAGAUUUUGACCCUUUUUCCACGGUUUUCAAUACGGUAAGGAAAUGUUUGCUACUUAUUCCCUGGUGUCCAUUAUCCAAAGUAUGGUUUCUAGGCCAAACUUACAUAGGAAAGAAGCGAGUAAAAAAAAGAAGGAAACAAAUCCUUUCAGUUACUUGCUGUUCGAAUUACUACCAUGUCCUUCUAUUCGACAUGUAGGAUCUGUUGUUCUUUUUUUUCGACAGCCCCCCUGGCAUAUGUCUCACUGGAACUUUUACAAAUUUGGGUUUAGUGUUUAUGGUACAGAAAAGGUAUGUUUUUUUACACCAUCAAGCUAUUGAUUCUUUGUCACUUUAAAUUGCUAUUGAUGUGUAAAAAAGAGUUGAUUAUAUGUUCUACAUAAAUUGCUAGAAUCCUUUGUGGCUACAAAAGAAUUGAAUCAAUUGAUUAUAUGUUCGUUGAGGAGGUAAACUAAAAUUAGUUUUAAGCUGCUUCCAUUCGCACUGGUUGUCCGCUACAUGGUGAGUAGUGAUUUUACAGUUACCUUUCUCGAACUAAGUUUAAAUGCUCUGCGCCUUAUAGGUACUGUUUGUUUCUGCUCUUUUAUCGAAGCACGUGGAGUGAUACCUCUGCACCUCAGUGGCUUUAUCGGCGAGGCUUCGUUGCUGAGGUAAUUAGCAUUAGUUUCCUUCGUGCUGGUUGUUCACUAAUAAACUAAUGUUUGAUGUCGUGUUCGGCCCUAGGAUUCUUACCAGUGCGUCUAUGUGUUCCACCAACAAUCUAAUUAGCACAUACUUAAACCUGCCAUCUAUCCGUGCAUUGGAUAUACUGCAUUAUGCACGCUUGCUAGUUUAAAGUGUGAUUUAGUGUACAGAAUACGAUACAGAGCUUCUUAUUUAAAAAUAUUUGUAACUAUAACAAAUCAACUCUUAGAUAUACAACCUAAUGAAAUAUAUUCAAUAGGCUCGAUGCGUUCUAGCACAUUCCGAUGUGCCACGCAGUGCAGAGGUAAAUUCAGUGUACUUACAUGCUUAACUUCUAUAUAUACUAAUGAAGAUAGAUAUCUGUAUACUGUUAAUGCCUCUACAACAAAUGGUAAAAACAUGUUUUCCAUGUUAAACACCUACAAAUUCCUCGGUACAAAAGUGCUAUCCCACUUUGGACUACCAUAGUAAGAUAGCAAUGUUUAUCUUAUCGUUCACAAGUCGUCCACAAAGACAUGGAUCAGCUGACCAAGCUCGAACUACCAUCACCUCCAAAAAAGUAAGUGUUGCAAGAUAUUACUUAGAAAAUGAGAACAACGUCUACCCGUCAAUUUCACAGCCGCGACUUCUAUUCCAUACUAAUACAAUAACAAUGCAUAUAUGAUGAAGCAUACCCAGCUUAACAAAAGAGCUGCUGUAUUCUAUGGGUUCAAAAAAUGAAGACUGCUAGCUCACCAUGAAGCACUUGAAGGUAUUGGUUUUUUGCAAGCAUUAGAAGAGCUCCAGCACUUUUUAAUAUAAAAGCCUUUUGUGUACAUAUGAACCCACUGUUGGAGCAUUUCUAAAACUGUAUUGACUUAUGCAACCUCUAGAAACACACUAUUACUGCAUAUUGAGUACGCUACUUAAAUGCUACUUACUAUAUAUUGUAAUUUCA
Zea mays is the source of this 5582-nucleotide long non-coding RNA. RefSeq lists it as uncharacterized. The record is from RefSeq and is a predicted model, not a curated record. Lineage: Eukaryota; Viridiplantae; Streptophyta; Magnoliopsida; Poales; Poaceae. The transcript is spliced from 2 exons.